UGGGGAAUUUUGGACAAUGGGGGAAACCCUGAUCCAGCCAUCCCGCGUGUGCGAUGAAGGCCUUCGGGUUGUAAAGCACUUUUGGCAGGAAAGAAACGUCGCGGGUUAAUACCCCGCGAAACUGACGGUACCUGCAGAAUAAGCACCGGCUAACUACGUGCCAGCAGCCGCGGUAAUACGUAGGGUGCAAGCGUUAAUCGGAAUUACUGGGCGUAAAGCGUGCGCAGGCGGUUCGGAAAGAAAGAUGUGAAAUCCCAGAGCUUAACUUUGGAACUGCAUUUUUAACUACCGGGCUAGAGUGUGUCAGAGGGAGGUGGAAUUCCGCGUGUAGCAGUGAAAUGCGUAGAUAUGCGGAGGAACACCGAUGGCGAAGGCAGCCUCCUGGGAUAACACUGACGCUCAUGCACGAAAGCGUGGGGAGCAAACAGGAUUAGAUACCCUGGUAGUCCACGCCCUAAACGAUGUCAACUAGCUGUUGGGGCCUUCGGGCCUUGGUAGCGCAGCUAACGCGUGAAGUUGACCGCCUGGGGAGUACGGUCGCAAGAUUAAAACUCAAAUGAAUUGACGGGGUCGAUANCUGGUUUUCC
RNAcentral lists this ribosomal RNA (587 nucleotides) under uncultured bacterium. RNAcentral describes it as "partial 16S ribosomal RNA". It matches the Rfam family "Bacterial small subunit ribosomal RNA", at positions 355 to 938 of the family's 1533-position model. The record is from RNAcentral.